RNAcentral lists this ribosomal RNA (404 nucleotides) under Verrucomicrobiota bacterium. RNAcentral's name for it is "Verrucomicrobia bacterium partial 16S ribosomal RNA". It matches the Rfam family "Bacterial small subunit ribosomal RNA", at positions 355 to 776 of the family's 1533-position model. Lineage: Bacteria; Pseudomonadati; Verrucomicrobiota. The record is from RNAcentral.
UGGGGAAUAUUGCACAAUGGGGGAAACCCUGAUGCAGCGACGCCGCGUGAGCGAUGAAGGCUUUCGAGUCGUAAAGCUCUGUCCUAUGGGAAGAUAAUGACGGUACCAUAGAAGAAAGCCCCGGCUAAUUACGUGCCAGCAGCCGCGGUAAUACGUAAGGGGCGAGCGUUGUCCGGAAUUAUUGGGCGUAAAGAGUGCGUAGGCGGCAAAUUAAGUCAGAUGUGAAAACUAAGGGCUCAACCCAUAGAUUGAAUCUGAAACUGAUAUGCUUGAGUCAAGGAGAGGAAAGUGGAAUUCCUAGUGUAGCGGUGGAAUGCGUAGAUAUUAGGAGGAAUACCGGUGGCGAAGGCGACUUUCUGGACUUGAACUGACGCUGAGGCACGAAAGCGUGGGGAGCAAACAGG